Steccherinum ochraceum is the source of this 88-nucleotide non-coding RNA. NCBI's taxonomy places the organism in Eukaryota, Fungi, Basidiomycota, Agaricomycetes, Polyporales, Steccherinaceae. The record is from the annotation of a GenBank genome assembly.
GGCCUGAUGGUCUAGUGGUAAGAUACUUGCUUUGGGACUACCAAGUCACGUGUGCAAGGGAUCCCGGGUUCAAUCCCCGGUUGGGCCC